This is a small nuclear RNA of Mus pahari (shrew mouse), 102 nucleotides long. The record is from RefSeq and is a predicted model, not a curated record. NCBI's taxonomy places the organism in Eukaryota, Metazoa, Chordata, Mammalia, Rodentia, Muridae.
GUGUUGUCACUUCAGCAAUGCAUCUACUAACAUUGGAAUGAUACAGAGAAGAUAAGCAUAUAUGAGAAUGAAACAUAACUUUUUGAAGCAUCCAUAAUUUUU